AUAAUCCUGUAGUCGAAAAUGUUGUCUCUCUUGAGUGGAUCCUGAGUACGACGGAGCACGUGAAAUUCCGUCGGAAUCUGGGAGGACCAUCUCCUAAGGCUAAAUACUCUCUAGUGACCGAUAGUGAACCAGUACCGUGAGGGAAAGGUGAAAAGCACCCCGGAAGGGGAGUGAAAUAGAACCUGAAACCGUGUGCUUACAAGUAGUCAGAGCCCGUUAAUGGGUGAUGGCGUGCCUUUUGUAGAAUGAACCGGCGAGUUACGAUUUGAUGCAAGGUUAAGCAGUAAAUGUGGAGCCGUAGCGAAAGCGAGUCUGAAUAGGGCGUUUAGUAUUUGGUCGUAGACCCGAAACCAGGUGAUCUACCCUUGGUCAGGUUGAAGUUCAGGUAACACUGAAUGGAGGACCGAACCGACUUACGUUGAAAAGUGAGCGGAUGAACUGAGGGUAGCGGAGAAAUUCCAAUCGAACCUGGAGAUAGCUGGUUCUCUCCGAAAUAGCUUUAGGGCUAGCCUCAAGUGAUGAUUAUUGGAGGUAGAGCACUGUUUGGACGAGGGGCCCCUCUCGGGUUACCGAAUUCAGACAAACUCCGAAUGCCAAUUAAUUUAACUUGGGAGUCAGAACAUGGGUGAUAAGGUCCGUGUUCGAAAGGGAAACAGCCCAGACCACCAGCUAAGGUCCCAAAAUAUAUGUUAAGUGGAAAAGGAUGUGGCGUUGCCCAGACAACUAGGAUGUUGGCUUAGAAGCAGCCAUCAUUUAAAGAGUGCGUAAUAGCUCACUAGUCGAGUGACACUGCGCCGAAAAUGUACCGGGGCUAAACAUAUUACCGAAGCUGUGGAUUGUCCUUUGGACAAUGGUAGGAGAGCGUUCUAAGGGCGUUGAAGCAUGAUCGUAAGGACAUGUGGAGCGCUUAGAAGUGAGAAUGCCGGUGUGAGUAGCGAAAGACGGGUGAGAAUCCCGUCCACCGAUUGACUAAGGUUUCCAGAGGAAGGCUCGUCCGCUCUGGGUUAGUCGGGUCCUAAGCUGAGGCCGACAGGCGUAGGCGAUGGAUAACAGGUUGAUAUUCCUGUACCACCUAUAAUCGUUUUAAUCGAUGGGGGGACGCAGUAGGAUAGGCGAAGCGUGCGAUUGGAUUGCACGUCUAAGCAGUAAGGCUGAGUAUUAGGCAAAUCCGGUACUCGUUAAGGCUGAGCUGUGAUGGGGAGAAGACAUUGAGUCUUCGAGUCGUUGAUUUCACACUGCCGAGAAAAGCCUCUAGAUAGAAAAUAGGUGCCCGUACCGCAAACCGACACAGGUAGUCAAGAUGAGAAUUCUAAGGUGAGCGAGCGAACUCUCGUUAAGGAACUCGGCAAAAUGACCCCGUAACUUCGGGAGAAGGGGUGCUCUUUAGGGUUAACGCCCAGAAGAGCCGCAGUGAAUAGGCCCAAGCGACUGUUUAUCAAAAACACAGGUCUCUGCUAAACCGUAAGGUGAUGUAUAGGGGCUGACGCCUGCCCGGUGCUGGAAGGUUAAGAGGAGUGGUUAGCUUCUGCGAAGCUACGAAUCGAAGCCCCAGUAAACGGCGGCCGUAACUAUAACGGUCCUAAGGUAGCGAAAUUCCUUGUCGGGUAAGUUCCGACCCGCACGAAAGGCGUAACGAUUUGGGCACUGUCUCAACGAGAGACUCGGUGAAAUCAUAGUACCUGUGAAGAUGCAGGUUACCCGCGACAGGACGGAAAGACCCCGUGGAGCUUUACUGUAGCCUGAUAUUGAAAUUCGGCACAGCUUGUACAGGAUAGGUAGGAGCCUUUGAAACGUGAGCGCUAGCUUACGUGGAGGCGCUGGUGGGAUACUACCCUAGCUGUGUUGGCUUUCUAACCCGCACCACUUAUCGUGGUGGGAGACAGUGUCAGGCGGGCAGUUUGACUGGGGCGGUCGCCUCCUAAAAGGUAACGGAGGCGCUCAAAGGUUCCCUCAGAAUGGUUGGAAAUCAUUCAUAGAGUGUAAAGGCAUAAGGGAGCUUGACUGCGAGACCUACAAGUCGAGCAGGGUCGAAAGACGGACUUAGUGAUCCGGUGGUUCCGCAUGGAAGGGCCAUCGCUCAACGGAUAAAAGCUACCCCGGGGAUAACAGGCUUAUCUCCCCCAAGAGUUCACAUCGACGGGGAGGUUUGGCACCUCGAUGUCGGCUCAUCGCAUCCUGGGGCUGUAGUCGGUCCCAAGGGUUGGGCUGUUCGCCCAUUAAAGCGGUACGCGAGCUGGGUUCAGAACGUCGUGAGACAGUUCGGUCCCUAUCCGUCGUGGGCGUAGGAAAUUUGAGAGGAGCUGUCCUUAGUACGAGAGGACCGGGAUGGACAUACCUCUGGUGUACCAGUUGUCGUGCCAACGGCAUAGCUGGGUAGCUAUGUGUGGACGGGAUAAGUGCUGAAAGCAUCUAAGCAUGAAGCCCCC
Molecule: ribosomal RNA, 2426 nt
Filed under: Staphylococcus aureus
Lineage: Bacteria; Bacillati; Bacillota; Bacilli; Caryophanales; Staphylococcaceae
Description: partial 23S ribosomal RNA
Rfam family: Bacterial large subunit ribosomal RNA
Source: RNAcentral